AGGAAGGCAGGCAACAAGAAGUCAAUUAAGAACCAAGAUCAUUUGUCCGGCUGAAAGCACUUGUGCGCAAUAGAGCAUUUCCUGAAGGUUCAAUUGCUGAAGGGUAUCUUGCCCAAGAAUGCUUGACCUUUUGUUCAAGAUUUCUAGAAGGAACUACACGUUUUACAAGACCAUCAAGAAACCCUGCUCCAUCAGAAAAGAUAAAAGAUUUGUACAUGUUCAAUAGUGCUGGUGAACCAAUUGGAAAGGCUAUCCCGGUUGGGCAGUUUAAUAGCCGUCUUCUAAUUCAAGCACAUCGAUAUGUCUUACGACAUUGUGAUGAACUUGCAGAUUUCCGCAAAGAAUUUGUGGCCGAAGAGAAUAGCAAACGAUGUGAGUCAGCUAAAUUGACAGAAGCUGAUAGCACUAAGUUAAUUAAUGGACACUUUGCU
Triticum dicoccoides is the source of this 431-nucleotide long non-coding RNA. RefSeq lists it as uncharacterized. Lineage: Eukaryota; Viridiplantae; Streptophyta; Magnoliopsida; Poales; Poaceae. The transcript is spliced from 3 exons. The record is from RefSeq and is a predicted model, not a curated record.